GAUAAAGUGGCUGAUAAAAGCAAUAAAUUGUAAAUUUAUUUAUGAAUUAGAAUUCCUUUAUCA
This 63-nucleotide transfer RNA is filed under the name Cucujoidea sp. 5 KM-2017. Its description in RNAcentral is "tRNA-Tyr". It matches the Rfam family "tRNA". From Rfam's summary of the family: Transfer RNA (tRNA) molecules are approximately 80 nucleotides in length. Their secondary structure includes four short double-helical elements and three loops (D, anti-codon, and T loops). Lineage: Eukaryota; Metazoa; Arthropoda; Insecta; Coleoptera. The record is from RNAcentral.